AUCGCUUCUCGGCCUUUUGGCUAAGAUCAAGUGUAGUACGCGACAUUUUUGUCGGAAAUUUUCGCUCCGUGAAUUUUCGAAUUUUUCUACCUCUU
Molecule: non-coding RNA, 95 nt
Organism: Paramuricea clavata
Lineage: Eukaryota; Metazoa; Cnidaria; Anthozoa; Malacalcyonacea; Plexauridae
Source: the annotation of a GenBank genome assembly